UCCCUGGUGGCUCAGAUGGUAAAGAAUCUGUCUGCAAUGUAGGAGACCCAGGUUGGAUCCCUGGGUAGGGAA
Molecule: non-coding RNA, 72 nt
Organism: Bos taurus (domestic cattle)
Lineage: Eukaryota; Metazoa; Chordata; Mammalia; Artiodactyla; Bovidae
Source: Rfam